UACGUAGGGUGCAAGCGCUGUUCGGAAUCAUUGGGCGUAAAGCGCGUGUAGGUGGUUAUGUAAGUCGAGUGUGAAAUCCCUGGGCUCAACCGAGGAAGUGCAUCCGAAACUACAUAGCAAGAGGACAGUAGGGGAAGGUGGAAUUCCUAGUGUAGAGGUGAAAUUCGUAGAUAUUAGGAGGAAUACCGGUGGCGAAGGCGGCCUUCUGGGCUGGACCUGACACUGAGACGCGAAAGCGUGGGUAGCAAACAGG
This 253-nucleotide ribosomal RNA is filed under the name uncultured bacterium. RNAcentral describes it as "partial 16S ribosomal RNA". It matches the Rfam family "Bacterial small subunit ribosomal RNA", at positions 524 to 776 of the family's 1533-position model. The record is from RNAcentral.